This 406-nucleotide ribosomal RNA is filed under the name uncultured bacterium. RNAcentral's name for it is "partial 16S ribosomal RNA". It matches the Rfam family "Bacterial small subunit ribosomal RNA", at positions 30 to 526 of the family's 1533-position model. The record is from RNAcentral.
AUUGAACGCUGGCGGCAGGCCUAACACAUGCAAGUCGAGCGAGCGGCGGACGGGUGAGUAAUGUCUGGGAAACUGCCCGAUGGAGGGGGAUAACUACUGGAAACGGUGGCUAAUACCGCAUACCAUCGGAUGUGCCCAGAUGGGAUUAGCUAGUAGGUGGGGUAAAGGCUCACCUAGGCGACGAUCCCUAGCUGGUCUGAGAGGAUGACCAGCCACACUGGGACUGAGACACGGCCCAGACUCCUACGGGAGGCAGCAGUGGGGAAUAUUGCACAAUGGGCGCAAGCCUGAUGCAGCCAUGCCGCGUGUAUGAAGAAGGCCUUCGGGUUGUAAAGUACUUUCAGCGAGGAGGCGUUACUCGCAGAAGAAGCACCGGCUAACUCCGUGCCAGCAGCCGCGGUAAUAC